CAAGCCCCGGCAACAGUCCGGGGCAUUGGUUUAUAAUGCAGCCGUAGGCGGUCACAAGCCCGUAUAAAUGCAGAGUGUAAA
Molecule: non-coding RNA, 81 nt
Filed under: unclassified sequences
Source: RNAcentral